CGCGGCCUAUCAGCUUGUUGGUGGGGUAACGGCCCACCAAGGCUUCGACGGGUAGCUGGUCUGAGAGGACGAUCAGCCACACUGGGACUGAGACACGGCCCAGACUCCUACGGGAGGCAGCAGUAGGGAAUCUUGCGCAAUGGGCGAAAGCCUGACGCAGCAACGCCGCGUGAGGGACGAAGGCUUUCUGAGUUGUAAACCUCUUUCAGCAGGGACGAUUGUGACGGUACCUGCAGAAGAAGCACCGGCCAACUACGUGCCAGCAGCCGCGGUGAUACGUAGGGUGCAAGCGUUGUCCGGAUUUAUUGGGCGUAAAGAGCUCGUAGGCGGUUCGAUAAGUCGGAUGUGAAACCCCCAGGCUUAACCUGGGGCCGCCAUUCGAUACUGUCGUGACUAGAGUCCGGUAGGGGACCAUGGAAUUCCUGGUGUAGCGGUGAAAUGCGCAGAUAUCAGGAGGAACACCAGCAGCGAAGGCGGUGGUCUGGGCCGGCACUGACGCUGAGGAGCGAAAGCGUGGGGAGCGAACAGGAUUAGAUACCCUGGUAGUCCACGCCGUAAACGUUGGGCACUAGGUGUGGGGCCUAUUCAACGGGUUCCGUGCCGCAGCUAACGCAUUAAGUGCCCCGCCUGGGGAGUACGG
This 640-nucleotide ribosomal RNA is filed under the name uncultured Actinomycetes bacterium. RNAcentral's name for it is "bacterial SSU rRNA". It matches the Rfam family "Bacterial small subunit ribosomal RNA", at positions 232 to 885 of the family's 1533-position model. The record is from RNAcentral. Lineage: Bacteria; Bacillati; Actinomycetota; Actinomycetes.